CCAAUCAAACAAAUUGCGAAACAGCCCAAAAAAAAAAAAAAAAAUUAAGCAGAGUCUUUGUUAAUAUAUAACACUGGUUCUUUCACAGUUGACAGAGGUGGUGUUGUUGACCUUGCUGUUGAACUUUGGAUUGCCCAAUCACAGCUUUAAAAACAUCUGAGGGUAACAGGAUGUCAUGUUAUUCAGAUUUUAAAACCUGACUGAAGACAGAUGAUGGACAGGACCUAUCUUAUCUUCGGUGCUAUAACACAGUGUUUCCUCUCAGGAUGGCAAUAAAAGGAGCUCUUAAAAGGAUUAAAACCAGGACUCCCCAGUCCGGCGAUGAUAUGCUUUGCAGGGUUUCCCGGAGACACCGACUCUCAGUGUACCAUCAUGUCUUUUGGCUGCCUACUUGUGUCAUGUUUCCAGAUAGUACCUGGUUAAGAGGAACGGCUGUCGGCCUGGCACCAGGCAGCGUUACGUAAACAUCCCCCCACCUGGCACCCAGCAGUGAAUGAGUCGUGAAAGCUGUCCUUCUUUCCAAAAACGCUUCGCAGACAUGUAGAGACACACCAGAGUCUUAAAACGUGCCACGUGAACAGGAGAGCUGGUGUCGGAGAAGCCACACUCUCAAAAAUAAAGGUUGUUCAUUGUCAUCUGUGGUUCAAGAAUUUGUAUUAUCCCAUGGAACACGUUUAUUUCAGAUUGUCUUUUUUCUUUAGAUUUUGAAAAUGCUCUUCACUCUGAGAAAAAAAGGUUACUUUAAGAACUUUUAGGAACCAGAAGUGGUACCAGAAAAAACGUAGCUUGACUGCGAUUUGAACAAUGCAGUUUGUUGGCUUAAAAGCAAUGUUGGGAGUAAUGCGUUAUGAAAGUAAUGCAUUACAGUAAUAAAUUAUUUUUUGCAGUAGUGUAAGGCAUUACUAAUCCAUUUUCAGUCAUAUUUUACACACUUUUUGCCCAAAACUGUACCAAAAAGUAAGCUCCCGUGGUCAGUUAAUAGCCACGGGUGGUUUCCAAGUUUGUAAAUAAAGACAAAAGACGAUUUAUUUCAUUUAUCUCCCUCUUACUGGAGGAAGCUUGUAUGUGACGUGGUCGAGUGAAGACGUGUUUAUGGCAGGUUUGAGUGCUGCUAGACUACUGACCCGACAGUGGAAAAGAGGCCUGAUUUCAGCCUCUGUGCUCGAGGUCUGAGGCUAUUAGCCCGGUCUGGCUCGCUGGCCAGUGGAAAAGCGGCUAAUUGGUGAAGAUGGACACAUGCACAUUACUUCUGGUUUUCUGUCAUCCUUUUUUGCUUUUUCUUAAACAUUAAUUUUGCCAGUUAGAGUAGAUUUAGGCCCUAUAGCCCACCCUUUGACACGUGUCUGACAGCUUAUCAGAAUUACCAGCCUGAGAUGUCUUUUUUUCCCUCUUCUACCAAAUACUACUGUUUCGGGUAUUAAAAUAUUUCAAUUUUGUGCAUAAUGGCAAAAUGCUAUUUCAUUUAGGGUUAAGUUAAUUUAGGAACCACUUGUAUUUUUUUCAGGGGAAAUGAACCGAGACUCUUUAAAAAGACAUCUUUAAAUGACCACUUUACAAAAUAAAAAAGAAACACAUAAAUAUCCAAAAAUAAUUAAAAAAAUAUUUUAAAUGCCAUUGCAGGGAACCAACAGAAUCAAUUCCCGAGAACCGUCUGGAUAAUCCAGAUGUCUCUGCCUAAUAUAAGAAAGACUGGUUGUUUUAGAAAAGCCACAUUAUUCUAAAAAAGCUGUGCUACUGCGCUACUGAAAAAAAAAGUAGUUAAGUUAGGAGUGCUGCUACUUUAAGUUAGUUUUUAUACUUAUAAGAGAACAAGGAACAACAGUGUCUUGCCGGCCCCUGCCACCAUAUGCCAGAAAUUAUCAUACAGAUUUGCCUUUGUAUCCAUUUUUAACACACAGGAGAAGAAUCAAGCCUUUAUGCGGGCCGGGGUUUCACUGUUUACUCUUCUACCUUCAGGGCCAAAGGACAGAAAAAGAGAGAGAGGGAGACUCUGGUUUGAGUAAAUGAAGGGAAAGGUAGAGAACUGUAAGGUACAGAGGGAAGGAAAGGGGUGGAGAGAAGCAAGAAAGGAGUCCUUUGAGUGACAGUAAUUUAGAAACCUGUGCUUUUUAUGAGUUUCCUGCUCUUAGAAAAACAUACAGAGAGAGAAAAGGGGCCCAAUUCAAAUCGCUUUCUUUGAGCAGGGCUCUCAUGGCAGGACGCCGCUCUGCAUGUUUGUACAUGUGUCUUUAAAUUCAAUGGGAUUUUGCAUUGUUUGGGACUUGUUAAAUAUAAAGCACAAGUUAACAGUAUCUUUCAAAAUGAGUAUGUACUCCAUGGUGCAAAAAAGAGGAUGUUUUGCAGAAUGCACAAGCU
Puntigrus tetrazona (Sumatra barb) is the source of this 2355-nucleotide long non-coding RNA. RefSeq lists it as uncharacterized. The transcript has 3 exons. NCBI's taxonomy places the organism in Eukaryota, Metazoa, Chordata, Actinopteri, Cypriniformes, Cyprinidae. The record is from RefSeq and is a predicted model, not a curated record.